UGCACACAUUGAAGGAUUGUAAUUAACGCAUGAGAAACUUGAACACUUGCCGCCGCUGACGUGUAUGUUGUGCCCGUGUAAGGUCGUAAACUCGUUAUAUUACACUAGAAGAUUGCUGAAGAGUGUAAUUAAGAAAAUAAUUACGUUCACCAAACCAGUACUGUAACGGUCUAAGAAGAAUAUAGCACACUAACUUACGUUGUAAA
This is a long non-coding RNA of Zootermopsis nevadensis, 206 nucleotides long. RefSeq lists it as uncharacterized. Lineage: Eukaryota; Metazoa; Arthropoda; Insecta; Blattodea; Termopsidae. The record is from RefSeq and is a predicted model, not a curated record.